AAUAAUGUUGUCGUGCAAUGCUUGUCGCUAAAUUACGUGCUUUUUAAUGCCAUUUGUCUUGUUAUAACACACUGUAAUACUCCACAGCAGGCAAAAAAUAAAAUAAAACCAUUAGUAAUUUGAGCAAGUGGCACCUCCGAGGCUGUGUCAAUGCAACCGUCUUUCCUUCACCUCAGGAUAUGAAUUUAGUGUGUGUGUGUGUGUGUGUGUGUGUGUGUGUGUGUGCACAGUCCCUGCAACACACACUGACAGGAAUGGUACAUCACUGCAGUGCAACACGUCCCCGUGGGUGCCGUGAGGACACAGGCGUGCACCACACGGCUGCCUGGCGGCCCACUGGUGAGCCUCGUGUUGUCUGGCGUGGACGAGAGGCUGCUGGAGGAGGCGGCCCAGAUAGCACAGCUCUUGCAGCCCACACAGCGCCCAUACUGGAGCAUCAGGUUCCCCGGCAGCAGCAUGAAGGCAGAUGUGUGGCGGCGCUGCCUUCACAAGCUGGCCAAUGCCGGCGUCACGGUGGAUGGUGAUGUUGGUGGUGGUAUUGUAGCACCGGACACCAGCCCCAUCACGGAGGAGGAGCACAGGGAGCUGCGCACCCUUGCCAGCACCACGAUGUUAGGUGCCUUCACCAGAUGGCCUGAAGAGGACCUGUGGUGGGAGUUCGUGUAAUCCCCGUGACGGCCAGACUCAUCGGUGCUGGAAGUGCAUCCACUCACGAGGCAAACACCUGGGCUGCAUUUAUCCUACUGCAUUGUGUGUGUACAAGUCAAGUACAAGUGUGGCGCUCUCUCUCUCUCUCUCUCUCUCUCUCUCUCUCUCUCUCUCUCUCUCUCUCUCUCUCUCUCUCUCUCUCUCUCUCUCUCUCUCUCUCUCUCUCUCUCUCUCUCUCUCUCUCUCUCUCUCUCUCUCUCUCUCUCUCUCUCUCUCUCUCUCUCUCUCUCUCAUGAUUGAAAUUAUAUUCUUAAGUUUGUUAGAAUUCUUAAGUCUUGAUGUAGUUUCUCUCUCUCUCUCUGGAUUCAAAUUAUAUUUUUAAGUUUGUUAGAAUUCUUAAGUCUUGAUCUCUCUCUCUCUCUCUCUCUCUCUCUCUCUCUGUCUGUCUGUCUGUCUGUCUGUCUGUCUGUCUGUCUGUCUGUCUGUCUGUCUGUCUGUCUGUCUGUCUGUCUGUCUGUCUCUCUCUCUCUCUCUCUCUCUCUCUCUCUCUCU
Scylla paramamosain (green mud crab) is the source of this 1200-nucleotide long non-coding RNA. RefSeq lists it as uncharacterized. The record is from RefSeq and is a predicted model, not a curated record. NCBI's taxonomy places the organism in Eukaryota, Metazoa, Arthropoda, Malacostraca, Decapoda, Portunidae. The transcript is spliced from 3 exons.